RNAcentral lists this ribosomal RNA (581 nucleotides) under Salmonella enterica subsp. enterica serovar Infantis. RNAcentral describes it as "partial 23S ribosomal RNA". It matches the Rfam family "Bacterial large subunit ribosomal RNA", at positions 711 to 1288 of the family's 2925-position model. The record is from RNAcentral. Lineage: Bacteria; Pseudomonadati; Pseudomonadota; Gammaproteobacteria; Enterobacterales; Enterobacteriaceae. RNAcentral also lists the same sequence under 1 other name.
AGACCCGAAACCCGGUGAUCUAGCCAUGGGCAGGUUGAAGGUUGGGUAACACUAACUGGAGGACCGAACCGACUAAUGUUGAAAAAUUAGCGGAUGACCUGUGGCUGGGGGUGAAAGGCCAAUCAAACCGGGAGAUAGCUGGUUCUCCCCGAAAGCUAUUUAGGUAGCGCCUCGUGAAUUCAUCUCCGGGGGUAGAGCACUGUUUCGGCUAGGGGGCCAUCCCGGCUUACCAACCCGAUGCAAACUGCGAAUACCGGAGAAUGUUAUCACGGGAGACACACGGCGGGUGCUAACGUCCGUCGUGAAGAGGGAAACAACCCAGACCGCCAGCUAAGGUCCCAAAGUCAUGGUUAAGUGGGAAACGAUGUGGGAAGGCCCAGACAGCCAGGAUGUUGGCUUAGAAGCAGCCAUCAUUUAAAGAAAGCGUAAUAGCUCACUGGUCGAGUCGGCCUGCGCGGAAGAUGUAACGGGGCUAAACCAUGCACCGAAGCUGCGGCAGCGACACUCAGGUGUUGUUGGGUAGGGGAGCGUUCUGUAAGCCUGCGAAGGUGGCCUGUGAGGGUUGCUGGAGGUAUCAGAAG